RNAcentral lists this ribosomal RNA (253 nucleotides) under uncultured bacterium. RNAcentral describes it as "partial 16S ribosomal RNA". It matches the Rfam family "Bacterial small subunit ribosomal RNA", at positions 524 to 776 of the family's 1533-position model. The record is from RNAcentral.
UACGGGGGGGGCAAGCGUUGUUCGGAAUUACUGGGCGUAAAGGGCUCGUAGGCGGCCAACUAAGUCAGACGUGAAAUCCCUCGGCUUAACCGGGGAACUGCGUCUGAUACUGGAUGGCUUGAGUUUGGGAGAGGGAUGCGGAAUUCCAGGUGUAGCGGUGAAAUGCGUAGAUAUCAGGAGGAACACCAAUGGCGAAGGCAGCUCGCUGGGACGGUACUGACGCUGAGGAGCGAAAGCGUGGGUAGCAAACAGG